AGUGAACGCUGGCGGUAGGCCUAACACAUGCAAGUCGAACGGCAGCACAGUAAGAGCUUGCUCUUACGGGUGGCGAGUGGCGGACGGGUGAGGAAUACAUCGGAAUCUACUUUUUCGUGGGGGAUAACGUAGGGAAACUUACGCUAAUACCGCAUACGACCUACGGGUGAAAGCAGGGGAUCUUCGGACCUUGCGCGAUUGAAUGAGCCGAUGUCGGAUUAGCUAGUUGGCGGGGUAAAGGCCCACCAAGGCGACGAUCCGUAGCUGGUCUGAGAGGAUGAUCGGCCACACUGGAACUGAGACACGGUCCAGACUCCUACGGGAGGCAGCAGUGGGGAAUAUUGGACAAUGGGCGCAGGCCUGAUGCAGCCAUACCGCGUGGGUGAAGAAGGCCUUCGGGUUGUAAAGCCCUUUUGUUGGGAAAGAAAAGCAGCAGGUUAAUACCCCGCUGUUCUGGCGGUACCCAAAGAGUAAGCACCGGCUAACUUCGUG
RNAcentral lists this ribosomal RNA (492 nucleotides) under uncultured bacterium. RNAcentral describes it as "partial 16S ribosomal RNA". It matches the Rfam family "Bacterial small subunit ribosomal RNA", at positions 29 to 507 of the family's 1533-position model. The record is from RNAcentral.